Molecule: transfer RNA, 63 nt
Filed under: Pseudopedinella elastica
Lineage: Eukaryota; Dictyochophyceae; Pedinellales
Rfam family: tRNA
About the family: Transfer RNA (tRNA) molecules are approximately 80 nucleotides in length.
Source: RNAcentral
GCUUAGCUCAGUUGGGAGAGCAUCGCCCUUACAAGGCGAGGGUCACUGGUUCAAGCCCAGUAG